GAUGAACGCUGGCGGCGUGCCUAAUACAUGCAAGUCGAGCGAACAGAUAAGGAGCUCGCUCCCUUGACGUUAGCGGCGGACGGGGGAGUAAUACGUGGGUAACCUACCUAUAUGACUGGAAUAACUCCGGGAAACCGGGGCUAAUGCCGGAUAACAUGUUGAACGGCAUGGGUCUAGAGUGCAUGGCGGCUUUGCUGUCACUUAUAGAUGGACUCGCGCCGUAUUAGCUAGUUGGUGAGGUAACGGCUCACCAAGGCAACGAUACGUAGCCGACCUGAGAGGGUGAUCAGCCACACUGGAACUGAGACACGGUCCAGACUCCUACGGGAGGCAGCAGUAGGGAAUCUUCCGCAAUGGGCGAAAGCCUGACGGAGCAACGCCGCGUGAGUGAUGAAGGUCUUCGGAUCGUAAAGCUCUGUUGUUAGGGAAGAACAAAUGCGUAUGUAACUGUGCGCGUCUUGACGGUACCUAAUCAAAAAGCCACGGCUAACUACGUG
This 497-nucleotide ribosomal RNA is filed under the name uncultured bacterium. Its description in RNAcentral is "partial 16S ribosomal RNA". It matches the Rfam family "Bacterial small subunit ribosomal RNA", at positions 28 to 507 of the family's 1533-position model. The record is from RNAcentral.